This 849-nucleotide ribosomal RNA is filed under the name uncultured bacterium. Its description in RNAcentral is "bacterial SSU rRNA". It matches the Rfam family "Bacterial small subunit ribosomal RNA", at positions 28 to 895 of the family's 1533-position model. The record is from RNAcentral.
GACGAACGCUGGCGGCGUGCCUAACACAUGCAAGUCGAGCGAUGAAGCCCUUCGGGGUGGAUUAGCGGCGGACGGGUGAGUAACACGUGGGUAACCUGCCUCAAAGAGGGGGAUAGCCUCCCGAAAGGGAGAUUAAUACCGCAUAACAUUAGCUUUUCGCAUGGAGAGCUAAUUAAAGGAGUAAUCCGCUUUGAGAUGGACCCGCGGCGCAUUAGCUAGUUGGUGAGGUAAAGGCUCACCAAGGCGACGAUGCGUAGCCGACCUGAGAGGGUGAUCGGCCACAUUGGAACUGAGACACGGUCCAGACUCCUACGGGAGGCAGCAGUGGGGAAUAUUGCACAAUGGGCGAAAGCCUGAUGCAGCAACGCCGCGUGAGUGAUGAAGGCCUUCGGGUUGUAAAGCUCUGUCUUUGGGGACGAUAAUGACGGUACCCAAGGAGGAAGCCACGGCUAACUACGUGCCAGCAGCCGCGGUAAUACGUAGGUGGCGAGCGUUGUCCGGAUUUACUGGGCGUAAAGGAUGCGUAGGUGGAUGUUUAAGUCAGAUGUGAAAUACCCGAGCUUAACUUGGGUGCUGCAUUUGAAACUGGAUAUCUAGAGUGCAGGAGAGGGCAGUGGAAUUCCCAGUGUAGCGGUGAAAUGCGUAGAUAUUGGGAGGAACACCAGUGGCGAAGGCGACUGCCUGGACGGCACCUGACGCUGAGGCGCGAAAGCCAGGGGAGCAAACGGGAUUAGAUACCCCGGUAGUCCUGGCCGUAAACGAUGGGUACUAGGUGUGGGAGGUAUCGACCCCUUCCGUGCCGCAGUUAACACAAUAAGUACCCCGCCUGGGGAGUACGGCCGCAAGGUU